UACAGAGGGUGCGAGCGUUAAUCGGAAUUACUGGGCGUAAAGCGUGCGUAGACGGUUAUUUAAGUCGGAUGUGAAAGCCCCGGGCUCAACCUGGGAAUUGCAUUCGAGACUGAAUAGCUAGGGUACGGUAGAGGGAAGUGGAAUUUCCGGUGUAGCGGUGAAAUGCGUAGAUAUCGGAAGGAACAUCGGUGGCGAAAGCGACUUCCUGGACCAGUACCGACGUUCAGGCACGAAAGCGUGGGGAGCAAACAGG
This 253-nucleotide ribosomal RNA is filed under the name uncultured bacterium. RNAcentral describes it as "partial 16S ribosomal RNA". It matches the Rfam family "Bacterial small subunit ribosomal RNA", at positions 524 to 776 of the family's 1533-position model. The record is from RNAcentral.